Molecule: long non-coding RNA, 660 nt
Filed under: Musa acuminata (dwarf banana)
Lineage: Eukaryota; Viridiplantae; Streptophyta; Magnoliopsida; Zingiberales; Musaceae
Description: long non-coding RNA (MACU_LNC007100)
Source: RNAcentral
CGCGGGAAGGCUUGGUUGUGGGAUUGGGGUUCGGCCCGAUGGGCAAAUCGUCUGGGAUUGGGGGAGGACGACGGAAGCAGCAGCCACUGGCGACCGCAGGGUCAUCAUAAGCAUAAGGGAACGGUAUGGCGGGGGGCAUCAACAACUUCCUCCUAUUUCUCCUCUCCUUGUUCUCGUUAAGGAGCUUCUCGAACCGUCGAAUGGGUAGGAGUAUCAACUGUUUUACCUUCUUCUUCUUCUUCUUCUUCUUCUUCUUCUUCUUCUUAUUAUUAUCGAUCUCUGCCAUAUCAUCCACUUCAUCAUCACAAACUUUUUCUCCCCUGCCUCCAUCUGCAAUCCCCGCUUCCUCCCGGACUGCUGCUGCUGCUGCUGAUUCCACUUCUUCUUCGUCGUGAUUGGAUUCUCCCGUAUAAGUCAUGUACUGUGGAUCGGAGAUUGGGGAGAGCAGGAAUCCGCGAAUGGAUCGAGUGACGGGGGAAAGAGAAGAGGAGGAGGAGCACUUGCCGGCGGUGUCGGUCGGCGAAAGAGCAAAUGGGAGAGAGAGAGGAGAUGUCUCGAACGAAUCGCGUCGGGCCCAUCACCACCUCAGCACGCAUAUAAAGCAUUGCCCGUGAAAUGUAUUUAAGGUUGCAAAGAACCGCCUAAUAUUCUAUUCACCAG